GAUGAACGCUGGCGGCGUGCCUAAUACAUGCAAGUCGAGCGAAGAGGGGAAGGGUGAGUAAAACGUGGAUAACCUCCUAUAAGACUGGGAAAAACUCGGGAAACCGGAGACUAAACGGCAACUUAGCGAUGGAGGCGCGCUCCAUUAGCUAGUUGGUAAGUUAACGGCUUACCAAGGCAAUGAUGCAUAGCAGACCUGAGAGGAUGAUCGGCCACACGGGACCUGAGCCACGGUCCAGACUCCUACGGGAGGCAGCAGUGGGGAUUCUUCCGCAAUGGGCGAAAGCCUGACGGAGCAACGCCGCGGGAGUGAUGAAGGUCUUCGGUUCGUAAACCUCUGUUAUUAGGGAAGCGGUGCCUAAUCAGAAAGCCACGGCUAACUACGUGCCAGCAGCCGCGGUAAUUC
Molecule: ribosomal RNA, 405 nt
Filed under: uncultured bacterium
Lineage: Bacteria
Description: partial 16S ribosomal RNA
Rfam family: Bacterial small subunit ribosomal RNA
Source: RNAcentral